UAUUGGACAAUGGGCGCAAGCCUGAUCCAGCCAUACCGCGUGGGUGAAGAAGGCCUUCGGGUUGUAAAGCCCUUUUGUUGGGAAAGAAAUCCUGUCGGUUAAUACCCGGCGGGGAUGACGGUACCCAAAGAAUAAGCACCGGCUAACUUCGUGCCAGCAGCCGCGGUAAUACGAAGGGUGCAAGCGUUACUCGGAAUUACUGGGCGUAAAGCGUGCGUAGGUGGUUGUUUAAGUCUGCUGUGAAAGCCCUGGGCUCAACCUGGGAAUUGCAGUGGAUACUGGGCGACUAGAGUAAGGUAGAGGAUAGUGGAAUUUCCGGUGUAGCAGUGAAAUGCGUAGAGAUCGGAAGGAACAUCUGUGGCGAAGGCGACUAUCUGGGCCAUUACUGACACUGAGGCACGAAAGCGUGGGGAGCAAACAGG
This 422-nucleotide ribosomal RNA is filed under the name uncultured bacterium. RNAcentral describes it as "bacterial SSU rRNA". It matches the Rfam family "Bacterial small subunit ribosomal RNA", at positions 362 to 776 of the family's 1533-position model. The record is from RNAcentral.